This 5743-nucleotide long non-coding RNA is filed under the name Gossypium barbadense (sea-island cotton). RNAcentral's name for it is "long non-coding RNA (GBAR_LNC007347)". Lineage: Eukaryota; Viridiplantae; Streptophyta; Magnoliopsida; Malvales; Malvaceae. The record is from RNAcentral.
UUUCGACAAUAAUAAUAAUGGGGGUUUUGGAGAUGUUUAUGAGUUCCUUUUAUGAGUCGGUAGUUAGAGCGGCUUCCCUCUCAACCUCUCUCUCCUGCUAGAGGUAUCCACCCUCACUAUAUUAUAAAACGGUUGAUUAUAUGUCACGUAAUAAUACAAAUUUAAAUUAACAGUUACAAUGUACCUGAGUAGGAAGAGCGAGAAGAAACAACCGAAUGAUGAAUCGAUAGUCGACAUUCAAGAAGAAAAACUGUUAAUAUCCAAGAAGGUGAUACAGAUGUCACCAUGGAAACUGACUUGUCCUUAGACAAACCUGGGUCAUAGAAAGAUCGCCUCAUGGGUAAAGGCCUGCGCUUUGAAGAUAAAACAGAAACACCAUCCAAAGAUGUCGAAGAAGACGACCUAGAAUUACUAGAAGAUUAUAUUAGAAAAACUUCAGUAAACGACAUACCAGCAAUUGAAUUCUCCAAACGAAUCACUCAACUUCUCAUAGAAGACAUGGAAUAUACGGUGGUAAUCAAACUCUUAGGAAGAAACAUUGGAUAUGCAACCUUUCAAAACAAGAUACAAGCUCUAUGACAACCGAGUCAACCAUUCAUAUUAAUGGAUAUCGAAAACGGCUACUACCUGGCUAAGUUUCAAAAUCCCGGAGAUUGUAAGAAAGUAUUAGGCCAGGGGCCUUGGAUAGUCUAUGGACAGUACCUAACUGUCCAACCCUGGACCAUUGAUUUUAACCCCUUGCAACCAUAUUCGAAUAUGGUCAUGGCCUGGAUACGAUUUCCUGGAUUGCCUAGACAUAUGUACAAAAGGAAAAUAUCAUGGGAAAUAGGAGGAAUGAUAGGAAAAGUAGUAAAAUUGGAUUUUAAUACUGAUAAUGGAGUCUGAGGAAGAUUUGUAAGAAAGGCAGUUUACGUUAACCUUGGAAAAGCCAUCAUAUUGCAAGUCUUAAUCAACGAUAUUCUACAGAGAAUAGAAUACAAAUACCUGCCUACGGUGUAUUUCUCCUGCGGUCUUUAUGGGUAUUCACAAGACAUAUGCCCAAAGUCAAUGAAUGAGCAACAAAGAACCAAAGAAAGCAUCGCUGAAACAUAAAUAAGACAGGAUAAUAAAACAGGGAAAAAUAAUCCCACAAACAGCUCCGACAUUUAUGGACUAUGGAUGCUUGUCGAAAAAUGAAUUUGCGAUGAUCAAAAGAAAGGCAAAGUAAUAACUGCGUAGCCAGAGAAAAGAAACAAGAAAACACUCGGUUUCAGCCAUUGGAAACCUUUAAUGAUGAGAUGGGCUUAUAUGUGAAUAGGCCCGCCAAUGAAACUAUCCUAGCCCAACAGGAGGUGGGCUCCGCAAUGCACCCAUUAGUUGAUAAACUAAGACCAAUAUCCACAGACUAGCAACAACAAAGGUCUGGUAAGGAGAGCACAGCAUAUUCAGGCCCAAACAAGCAGAAUCAAAUAAAAAAGAUAGGGCCCACCAUAUCCACCUCAGGGAGCCAAAAUAGAAUUAAUCUAGAGAAGCAAGGUUAUCCAGGCCAGACGCAAACUGAAUCAAAAUCAAGAAAGGGGAAAGAAAUAAAUAAAGAAUCACAAACAGUACACAUUUUGCAGUUACAACAUUUAGGGGGAAAUUCAGAGAUGGAGGUGACGAAGGUAAAAGAAAAUGACACAAUGACAGAGAAGCAGGCAAUGAGGGAAAUUAUUAACCAACAACCUUUAGAAAAUUCAGGGACUCAACUCAGCCUACAUUCCAAUGAUGAAAGACUAGUGGAGGUUGCUGUGACCCUUUCUGUCAAAAUUUUAGACACAGCCAAUCACUCAAUAGUGGUUUUUAAAGAGCUCGACAUCCUUGGGGAAAACAGGAAGAUCGGCUUACUCAUAAAAAUUCUAUGGGACGACGAAAUAGCUCUUCCACCGCCAGAACAAUUGAAGGAAAAUGAGUGCAAACCUGAAGGGCCAAAAGCUCAAGCGUAUCAUUCAGGAAAAAGGAAGUCCUUUCAAACCAUAUCCCCCAAAGUCCCAUUGAAAAAAUCAAUUAAUAAUAUGGUGGAUCUGUUACAAGAGCAAAUCAAGCAAGGACUUCUCAACAAGGUAAAUGAAGGAGGGGAGAGGUGAAAAGAAAGCAAGAAUAAGACAUAACAACAAUAUUAGACUGGGUACAAUCUUUCAAACCUUAUAUAAUGAAUUUUAAGUUCAAUUUAUCAAUUUUUGUUUGGCAUUGUUAAGGGUGCGCUAGUGCCAAAUUUCCUCACAUUUUUAGAGAGUAUAAUGUGGAAUUUAAACCAGAUAUAGUAGGCCUUCUUGAACUAAAUGUGAGUAGUAGUAAGGCGGAUGAAAUAAUUGCUAAAUUAGGCUUUCAUCAUUCACAUCGAAUCAAAGCAAAGGGUUUUUCAGGGGGAAUUUGGAUUGGUUGGAAAGACACAAUCCACCUGGAAAUAAUCCAAUAUCACCCUCAAUUUAUUCUGGUUAAAAUAUGUAAUGGAGACAAACACAACCUAUCUUCAUAAUGUUUGUUUACGGAAGUCCUAAUUCUACGAAGAGGAAGAGUUUAUGGGAAGCAUUAAAAACAAUUGUACCAUUUGAUCGAACUCUAUGGAUAGCAUUAGGAGAUUUUAAUGCAAUCCUUUCCGCCGAAGACAAAAAAAGUAGAAGCACCGUAGGGAAAAUAUGCCCAUUAUCCGGGGAGUUCAUUGAAUCCAAAAAUCUUCAAGACUUGGGAUUCCAAGGACCCUCUUUCACUUGGCAACGAAAAGGAGUCUUCGAAAGGCUAGAUCGCACAAUAGGAAAUGAAGCUUGGUGCCAAUCUUUUCCCCACUACGCAAUAACAUAUCUUAUAUGAAUUAGAUCUGAUCAUAGGCCUUUGUCAGUGAAUUUUAAUCUGAAUUUCAAACUCCUUAGAGGCUGACCCUUUAGAUUUCUCGCCGGAUGGGCACAACACCAAGAUUUUUCUAGCAUAGUUAAAAAUUCAUAAAAAUUUGAUGGAGACAUGUAUAGCUCAUUAAAUCAGCUUACUGCAAGUCUUAAAGGCUGUAACAAAAAAUUAUAUGGUCACAUUAGAUAUUGUAAGCAGAAAUUAGUAAAAUCUCUAGAUGUGAUACAAAUGAAACUGGAAAAAUCAUACUCAUAUUCACUGGCUCAAAAAUAAAUAGCAAUCAGAGAAGAGCUAGAAAAUGUACUUAGUCAUGAAAAACUAUUGUGGAAGCAAAAAUCCAGGUGCGACUGGCUUAAACUAAGGGAUAGAAACACGAAAUUCUUCCACAGUGGCACAUUACACAGAAGGAAGAUCAAUCGCAUUAUUACUCUUCGACACUCAAAUGAUGACUGGCUUUAUGAUCCAGAUGACAUAAAAGAGGAAGCAAUUAACUACUUUCAAAAAUUAUACGGUGAAAACCCUAAUAGAUUGAUGACAUUAUCCCCUAGUUGUUUCCCUCUGUUAGACACCAGGGACAUUGAUUUUCUUCAAAAAGAAGUCACGGAUGAAGAAAUUAAAACAACACUUUUAGACAUGGCCCCCUUAAAAGCACCAGAAAGUGAUGGAUACCAUGCUUUGUUCUUCCAAAACCAAUGGGAUAACAUAAGAGGAGCAGUUUGUUCUUGGGUUAAAGAUGUUUUUAAUGGACGACCCAUCGACCAAGAAUUAAAUAACACAUUAAUUGUCUUAUCCCGAAGGUUGCUCAACUAGAAGAAAUAUCUCAAUUUUGACCAAUAAGUCUUUGUAACAUUCUUUACAAAUUAGUCAUGAAAAUAAUAACCAAUAGGUUCAAAAAGGUUUUUCCUAAAAUCAUUUCUCAAGAACAAACUGGUUUCAUUGCUGGAAGAAACAUUAUUGAUAAUAUCAUCAUUGCUUAAGAAGUCAUUCAUUCAAUGUGAGGAAGAAAUAAGAAAUGGAUGACAAUCAAAAUUGACUUAGAAAAAGCUUAUGAUAGAGUCCGUUGGGACUACAUAGACAAAUCAAUCCAAGCAACUGGAAUACCAGAAUAUCUACAAAAAGUUAUCAUGUCAGGCAUCACAACGGCUAUUAUACAAGCCCUGUAGAAUGGGGUGCCCACUGAAAAAUUUAAACCUGCAAGAGGAGUAAGACAAGGAUGCCAUUAUCACUAUACUUAUUUGUCCUCUGCAUGGAAUGGCUAGGACAUUGUCUUAAUUCCUCCAUCUCCUCGAAAAAUUGGAUCCCUAUUAAAUUAUCUAGAACUGGACCUAACUUGUCACACCUAUUCUUCGCAGAUGACUUAGUGAUUUCCUCAAAACAUGGCAUGCUACUAAAGAAUAUUCUUGAACAGUUCUGCAGUUUUUCAAGACACUGUUUCAACUCAAGGAAAACCAAUGUCUUUUUCUCAAAAUGAGUAGUAGAAGACUUAAGUAAUAGGAUCAGUGGGAUUUUGGGGUACCAGAAAGUACAAGAACUGGGAAAAUACUUAGGCAUCCCCUUAUUCCACAAAAGAAUCACUAAAUCCACAGUACAAUUUGUAAUUGAAAAGGUCUAGUCAAAAUUAUGCAAUUGGGAUGCAAAGCAACUUUCCAUGGUAGGACGUUUUACCCUAGUUUAGUCAGUACUCUUAACCAUCCCUAAUUACUUCAUGCAAUCCAUGGAAAUCCCAAAAGGGGUGUGUGAUAAAACUGAAUGUAUAGCAAGACAAUUCAUCUGUGGCUCAAACACGAGAGGAAGGAAGCUAGCACUUGUGGAUUGGGGAACAGUAUGCCAGCCUCGAGUAAAUGGUGGUCUUAGUCUAAGGCGAUUGCAGGAGCAAAACAAAUCCUUUUUGUUAAAAUUAGAAAUGAACCUCAUCUCCAGACGGAAUGCAUUAUGGACGCAAGUACUACGCUCAAAAUAUGGAAUGAAAGAAGUUAUCCCAGAGUGUAUAGAAAGAAGAAAUAGUUCUGCACUAUGGAAAGAAAUUGAGAAGAUCUGGCCAAUAUUGAAAGAUAAUUUAUGCUGGUCAGUUAGAAAUGAAGCGGAAAUAUACUGCUGGAAUGAUAAUUGGGUUCCUAAUAUAGGACCACUGAGGAAACAAACUCAAAAUCCGAAUAGACCAAUCAACGAUUGCUUGCUUAAAGACAUGAUAACAACAGAGGGGGCAUGGAACUUAGAAGCAUUCAGAGAAAAUUUAACAGAGGGAAUCGUACAAAGGAUAAUUGGUGUACCUCCUCUGCACCAUUCAGUAGGACCAGAUAACAUCAGAUGGACGCCUGCCUCUACUGGAAAAUUCUCGAUCAAAAAUGCAUACCAACUAAUAACGGAGAAUUCAUGGAAUAAUCGAGAUACCAGGUGGAAGGAUAUUUGAAAGUAUCCAGGCCCUCAACGCAUCCGUUUCUUCCUAUGGUUAGCUUGUAAACAACGACUACUCACCAAUCUAGAGCAAGCAUGAAGAGGACUUGACUACAAUACCUCUUGUCCAGUGUGUUAGCACAACACAUAAGACGUUCUUUGUGCUCUCAAAGAUUGCCCGUCAACUAAAGAAAUUUGGCUAAACAUUAUCCCCCAAAACUGGCAAACUCAAUUCUUCUUUGGCAAUAUUUUUGACUGGGUAAAGGAAAAUUUAAGACACAAUGAAUGGAUGUUAUGGGCUCAAACCUUCUGGCCAACCCUUUUUGGUCUAGUUGCAUGGCGUAUAUGGAAAAAUAAGAAUCUAUUUGUCUUUCAAGACGUAACAUGGAGUUUAGCUGAAACCAUCAAGAUCUCUAUGUGCUGGGCAAGACAACAUACCAACUCACAUGCGAGGGAUCCAACUAAAGAUAUAAAUGAAGAAACUGAA